GGUAUCCUAACUGUGCUAAGGCAGCAUAAUCACUUGUUUCUUAAUUGGUAGCUGGAAUGAACGGUUGAACUUGUUUGACUGGUAUGAGCGUUUAAAUAUAAAAUUAGUCAAGGUAAGAAUUCUUUGAUGCCUUAGGGGACAAUAAGACCCUACAAGCUUAACAAACAUAUAUAUAACUUUAUAAUUUAAGCUAGUUUGUUUUACUGGGGCGGUGCUGGUGUUUUAACUACUAGCUGACUUAGGAUCCUUAAAAUAUAAACGGAGCGGGUAAGUUACUUUAGGGGUAACAGCGCAAUAAUUUUGGAGAGAUCUUAUCGAUAAGUAUAUUUGCGACCUCGAUGUUGAAUUAAAAUUUCUACGUGAAGCAGCAGGUGCAGUAGAGGGUUUGUUCAACCUUUAAAUUUUUACGUGAUCUGAGUUCAGACCGG
Molecule: ribosomal RNA, 428 nt
Filed under: Hyalellopsis carinata
Lineage: Eukaryota; Metazoa; Arthropoda; Malacostraca; Amphipoda; Acanthogammaridae
Description: partial large subunit ribosomal RNA
Rfam family: Bacterial large subunit ribosomal RNA
Source: RNAcentral